RNAcentral lists this long non-coding RNA (206 nucleotides) under Musa acuminata (dwarf banana). RNAcentral's name for it is "long non-coding RNA (MACU_LNC008828)". The record is from RNAcentral. Lineage: Eukaryota; Viridiplantae; Streptophyta; Magnoliopsida; Zingiberales; Musaceae.
CGCAGUGGGAGCAUGGAUGCGAUAGCGGGACCCACGAGACGGACGAUCGUGAUGCAUGGAGAUGCAUCAAGAUGUCGACGGAACCGACGAGGACGAGAUGGACGAUCACAGGGCAUGGAGAUGCACCGUUGCACACAUAGAUCUUGAUGUGAGUGAUUAGGCCUACUGGCUCGGGCCUAAUCAUAUUAGGCUGUGGUCCAUGAUCA